CUACGGGCUGCACCAGUGGGGAAUAUUGCACAAUGGGGGAAACCCUGAUGCAGCAACGCCGCGUGGAGGAUGACGCAUUUCGGUGUGUAAACUCCUUUUAUAUCCCAAGAUAAUGACGGUAGGAUAUGAAUAAGCACCGGCUAACUCCGUGCCAGCAGCCGCGGUAAUACGGAGGGUGCAAGCGUUACUCGGAAUCACUGGGCGUAAAGGGCGCGUAGGCGGGUUGUCAAGUCUUGAGUGAAAUCCAACGGCUCAACCGUUGAACUGCUUGAGAAACUGGCAGCCUAGAGUGAGGGAGAGGUAGAUGGAAUUGGUGGUGUAGGGGUAAAAUCCGUAGAGAUCACCAGGAAUACCCAUUGCGAAGGCGAUCUGCUGGAACUCUACUGACGCUGAGGCGCGAAAGCGUGGGGAGCAAACAGGAUUAGAUACCCCCGUAGUC
Molecule: ribosomal RNA, 439 nt
Filed under: uncultured bacterium
Lineage: Bacteria
Description: partial 16S ribosomal RNA
Rfam family: Bacterial small subunit ribosomal RNA
Source: RNAcentral